AAGGUAGCGAAAUUCCUUGUCGGGUAAGUUCCGACCCGCACGAAAGGCGUAACGAUUUGGGCACUGUCUCAACGAGAGACUCGGUGAAAUCAUAGUACCGGUGAAGAUGCCGGUUACCCGCGACAGGACGGAAAGACCCCGUGGAGCUUUACUGUAGCCUGAUAUUGAAAUUCGGUACAGUUUGUACAGGAUAGGUAGGAGCCUUAGAAGCGUGAGCGCUAGCUUACGUGGAGGCAUUGGUGGGAUACUACCCUAAUUGUAUUGGAUUUCUAACCCGCAGCACUUAUCGUGCUGGGAGACAGUGUCAGGCGGGCAGUUUGACUGGGGCGGUCGCCUCCUAAAGAGUAACGGAGGCGCUCAAAGGUUCCCUCAGAAUGGUUGGAAAUCAUUCAUAGAGUGUAAAGGCAUAAGGGAGCUUGACUGCGAGACCUACAAGUCGAGCAGGGUCGAAAGACGGACUUAGUGAUCCGGUGGUUCCGCAUGGAAGGGCCAUCGCUCAACGGAUAAAAGCUACCCCGGGGAUAACAGGCUUAUCUCCCCCAAGAGUUCACAUCGACGGGGAGGUUUGGCACCUCGAUGUCGGCUCAUCGCAUCCUGGGGCUGUAGUCGGUCCCAAGGGUUGGGCUGUUCGCCCAUUAAAGCGGUACGCGAGCUGGGUUCAGAACGUCGUGAGACAGUUCGGUCCCUAUCCGUCGUGGGCGUAGGAAAUUUGAGAGGAGCUGUCCUUAGUACGAGAGGACCGGGAUGGACAUACCUCUGGUGUACCAGUUGUCGUGCCAACGGCAUAGCUGGGUAGCUAUGUAUGGACGGGAUAAGUGCUGAAAGCAUCUAAGCAUGAAGCCCCCCUCGAGAUGAGAUUUCCCAACUUC
RNAcentral lists this ribosomal RNA (869 nucleotides) under Staphylococcus pseudintermedius. RNAcentral describes it as "partial 23S ribosomal RNA". It matches the Rfam family "Bacterial large subunit ribosomal RNA", at positions 1953 to 2821 of the family's 2925-position model. Lineage: Bacteria; Bacillati; Bacillota; Bacilli; Caryophanales; Staphylococcaceae. The record is from RNAcentral.